UAGAUACCCUAUUAUUAAAAUUAAAUAAUUAAAAAUACUUAAGUAGUAUUAGUUAUAUUCUUAAAAUUUAAAGAAUUUGGCGGUGUUUUAGUCUAUUUAGAGGAAUCUGUUCUGUUAUUGAUAAUCCACGUUGGACCUUACUUAAAUUUGUAAUCAAUUUGUAUAUCGUCGUCAUCAGAAUAUAUUAUAAGAUUAAUAAUUUUCUAAAUAUUUUAUUAAAUAAAAUGUCAGGUCAAGGUGCAGUUUAUGUUUAAGUAGAAAUGGAUUACAAUAAAAGUAUUUAUACGGAUAAUUUUUUGAAAUAAAA
RNAcentral lists this ribosomal RNA (307 nucleotides) under Anopheles culicifacies. RNAcentral describes it as "partial 12S ribosomal RNA". The record is from RNAcentral. Lineage: Eukaryota; Metazoa; Arthropoda; Insecta; Diptera; Culicidae.